AUGUUUUACAGAUAUCAACCAACAUCUCCAACCUCUUGUCCAGAGCGGGGCCACAUGGGUUUGGCCAGUGCCUGCUGUUUGGCGGGUCUGGGGUUCGAGCCCUGUUUGGGGUUCCUAGAGGCAGACUGGCAUCCCGUCCAAGUGGAAGUUCAUACAGUGACAGCUGUCAGUGACUACAGCAUGAAGAAGAACUGGGGGAACUGCCUCUUCUGGGAGGAACAGAGACAGGCAGAGGAGCAGUUUCAGAACAGUUCUCAGAACUCCUACCUGAUCAACAAGCCACCCCUGAACAGGGAAAUGGACAGCAGGGAUUACAGGAGCAGACGAGAAUCGUGGUCAUGGGACAGAAAGAAGGUCAGAACCAAAGAAGUUGUUGGGGGCAAAGCCAGGAUCAUGGCUGGGUACGUGCUGGGUCAAAACCAGGAAUGAGCUCUCCAGG
Molecule: long non-coding RNA, 439 nt
Filed under: Scleropages formosus (Asian bonytongue)
Lineage: Eukaryota; Metazoa; Chordata; Actinopteri; Osteoglossiformes; Osteoglossidae
Description: lncRNA (ENSSFOG00015027510.1)
Source: RNAcentral